UACGUAGGUGGCAAGCGUUAUCCGGAUUUAUUGGGUGUAAAGGGUGCGUAGACGGGAUAACAAGUUGGUUGUGAAACCCCUCGGCUCAACUGAGGAACUGCAACCAAAACUAUUAUUCUUGAGUGCAGGAGAGGAAAGUGGAAUUCCUAGUGUAGCGGUGAAAUGCGUAGAUAUUAGGAAGAACACCGGUGGCGAAGGCGACUUUCUGGACUGUAACUGACGUUGAGGCACGAAAGUGUGGGGAGCAAACAGG
Molecule: ribosomal RNA, 253 nt
Filed under: uncultured bacterium
Lineage: Bacteria
Description: partial 16S ribosomal RNA
Rfam family: Bacterial small subunit ribosomal RNA
Source: RNAcentral